GACGAACGCUGGCGGCGUGCUUAACACAUGCAAGUCGAACGGAAAGGCCCUGCUUUUGUGGGGUGCUCGAGUGGCGAACGGGUGAGUAACACGUGAGUAACCUGCCCUUGACUUUGGGAUAACUUCAGGAAACUGGGGCUAAUACCGGAUAGGAGCUCCUGCUGCAUGGUGGGGGUUGGAAAGUUUCGGCGGUUGGGGAUGGACUCGCGGCUUAUCAGCUUGUUGGUGGGGUAGCGGCUUACCAAGGCUUUGACGGGUAGCCGGCCUGAGAGGGUGACCGGCCACAUUGGGACUGAGAUACGGCCCAGACUCCUACGGGAGGCAGCAGUGGGGAAUAUUGCACAAUGGGCGGAGGCCUGAUGCAGCAACGCCGCGUGCGGGAUGACGGCCUUCGGGUUGUAAACCGCUUUCGCCUGUGACGAAGCGUGAGUGACGGUAAUGGGUAAAGAAGCACCGGCUAACUACGUG
RNAcentral lists this ribosomal RNA (468 nucleotides) under uncultured bacterium. RNAcentral's name for it is "partial 16S ribosomal RNA". It matches the Rfam family "Bacterial small subunit ribosomal RNA", at positions 28 to 507 of the family's 1533-position model. The record is from RNAcentral.